This 468-nucleotide ribosomal RNA is filed under the name uncultured bacterium. RNAcentral describes it as "partial 16S ribosomal RNA". It matches the Rfam family "Bacterial small subunit ribosomal RNA", at positions 28 to 507 of the family's 1533-position model. The record is from RNAcentral.
GACGAACGCUGGCGGCGUGCUUAACACAUGCAAGUCGAACGGAAAGGCCCUGCUUUUGUGGGGUGCUCGAGUGGCGAACGGGUGAGUAACACGUGAGUAACCUGCCCUUGACUUUGGGAUAACUUCAGGAAACUGGGGCUAAUACCGGAUAGGAGCUCCUGCUGCAUGGUGGGGGUUGGAAAGUUUCGGCGGUUGGGGAUGGACUCGCGGCUUAUCAGCUUGUUGGUGGGGUAGUGGCUUACCAAGGCUUAGACGGGUAGCCGGCCUGAGAGGGUUACCGGCCACAUUGGGACUGAGAGACGGCCCAGACUCCUACGGGAGGCAGCAGUGGGGAAUAUUGCACAAUGGGCGGAAGCCUGAUGCAGCAACGCCGCGUGCGGGAUGACGGCCUUCGGGUUGUAAACCGCUUUCGCCUGUGACGAAGCGUGAGUGACGGUAAUGGGUAAAGAAGCACCGGCUAACUACGUG